GACCUCGGAUCAGGUAGGGAUACCCGCUGAACUUAAGCAUAUCAAU
RNAcentral lists this ribosomal RNA (46 nucleotides) under Pseudocyphellaria aurata. RNAcentral describes it as "partial 28S ribosomal RNA". The record is from RNAcentral. Lineage: Eukaryota; Fungi; Ascomycota; Lecanoromycetes; Peltigerales; Lobariaceae. RNAcentral also lists the same sequence under 15 other names.